GUCAUUAUUUAGGAAAAAUUAAAUAUCAAAUAUUUAAACUGAAAUAUCAAAAAGUUAUAAGCCAAGAGUGUUCUGUUUUCUGUUUCAUGCUUUCCGACAAAAAAAAAAUUUUUUUUUCCUAUAAAGUAUCUUUUAACACAAAUACAAUUUAACAUUUAGGUGGGAUAAAUUGUCCAGGUAAUGCGUGUUGGUAGUUGUCAUAACUGAGGUAACUGUCCUUUUUCAUAGUUUUAUUUUUACAGUUUUGCGAAAAUAUCAGCAACUAUACAUUUUUGAUAAAAUAUUAUGUUGUACAUCUGAAACUAACAAAACGUUGUGUCAACUUUCGUAAAAACGCGUAUCCUUACAUACAAGUUGCACAGAACAUCUUCAAAAACGGUUCAUUAGCCGUUUGAUUUUCUUCUGUGAAGUGACCACAUAUGUCUUUGGUUUCUUUAUUCUUACUGGGUUUUCUUUUCUUACAGAAUAUAAUUUCGUGUAAUUAAUUAUUCGUUUGCUCUUUAUUAUUAAUAAAAACAACUAAAGUAAUUUCAGAAAACAAAAGUUGGUCACGUUUAGCACGGACGAUGCCAGGACACGGGAAACAGUCUUCAAACCAUCCCACUUACCUACCACCAGGUCGUGGGGCAGGUGUCCAUACACACUUACUUCUGGGGGCAUUUUGUUUGUUUUAUCAACAUUCCUUCAGAGUGUAACUCCCCGGGCCACUUGCCUCUCGCCCGGUUUCCCCCGCCCCAGCCCCCGCGCCUUUCCUGCCGACCUGCCCGCCCACUUUGCGCCCUAAGAGUCCCAACUUGGGGACCCUGUGGAGGCCUUGCCCGACUCGUCCCAGACCCCAGCCAGUCCUCUCCUCGUCACCCCAACUUGCCCCAUGUCCGUCCCCGGAGACGGCGCCCACUCGCCGCCUCAUUCUCCGGGGUCCUGAUUUCUGCUCGCCUCGCAGCCCGUCCUCCCCGGCAACCUACCGCCUGAAGAUCCUGGAGGAUUUCGGGGCCGGCAGCCGCGUCGCGGCGCUCAGUCCAGACACGACCGCCGAGCGCCGGGGGUGCCCGUCCGGGAACGGCUCCGGCGGCUAGCUCGAGGCCGCGAUUGGCAGCCGCGGGGGUGGGGCAGACGGCGGCCCCCCGAGGCGCGGGGCGGGCGCUGGGCGGGCGCGUGGCGCGCGCGGGGCGGAGCCUCGGGCGCCCGACCUACCGCGCUGCCGCAGUCGGGCGGGAACCGAACCGUUAAACUGGCGGCGCGCGUUUUCCUGGACGUACGGGGCGCGAGGAGCCGACGCCGCCCCGUUUGGAGGUUGCGCCUGGCGACGAGGAGGCUGCGGGAGGCCUCGCUGAGGGAUGAGUUACACACAGGAACAGCAGGGGACACAAAAUUGAGAAGUUAUUCUCUACAUAGCAAUGCACAAUGAAAUCUCAUGUUGUAGUGGAAAGCAGAUGAAUUUUGGAGGCAGACAGACUGUUUGAUUUCACCUUGCUCCAUCACGUGUAAGUUGUGUGUGUUGUGCCCAGUCUCUUAGCCAUUUCUGACUUUUUGUGACCAUUUGGACUGUAGCCUGCCAGGCACCUCUGUCCAUGGGAUUUUUCAGGCAAGAAUACUGGAGUGCAUUGCCAUUUCCUCCUCCAGGGGGUCUUCCAGACCCAGGGAUGGAACUUGUGUCUCCUGCAUUGAGAGGAGACUCUUCACCACAAACCACUGGGGAUGCCCACAUAUAAGCUGAGUGACCUUUAAUUACUUAACCUCU
Molecule: long non-coding RNA, 1741 nt
Filed under: Capra hircus (goat)
Lineage: Eukaryota; Metazoa; Chordata; Mammalia; Artiodactyla; Bovidae
Description: lncRNA (ENSCHIG00000001149.1)
Source: RNAcentral